This 528-nucleotide ribosomal RNA is filed under the name uncultured Acidimicrobiales bacterium. Its description in RNAcentral is "bacterial SSU rRNA". It matches the Rfam family "Bacterial small subunit ribosomal RNA", at positions 355 to 897 of the family's 1533-position model. Lineage: Bacteria; Bacillati; Actinomycetota; Acidimicrobiia; Acidimicrobiales. The record is from RNAcentral.
UGGGGAAUCUUGCGCAAUGGGGGAAACCCUGACGCAGCGACGCCGCGUGCGGGAUGAAGGCCUUCGGGUUGUAAACCGCUUUCAGCAGGGACGAAAUUGACGGUACCUGCAGAAGAAGGCCCGGCCAACUACGUGCCAGCAGCCGCGGUAAUACGUAGGGGCCUAGCGUUGUCCGGAAUUAUUGGGCGUAAAGAGCUCGUAGGCGGUUCGGCAAGUCGGAUGUGAAAUCUCCACGCUUAACGUGGAGGGGCCAUUCGAAACUGCUGUGACUCGAGUCCGGUAGGGGAGUGUGGAAUUCCCGGUGUAGCGGUGAAAUGCGCAGAUAUCGGGAGGAACACCAGUAGCGAAGGCGGCACUCUGGGCCGGUACUGACGCUGAGGAGCGAAAGCGUGGGGAGCGAACAGGAUUAGAUACCCUGGUAGUCCACGCCGUAAACGUUGGGCACUAGGUGUGGGACUCUAUCGACGGGUUCCGUGCCGUAGCUAACGCAUUAAGUGCCCCGCCUGGGGAGUACGGCCGCAAGGCUAA